This 469-nucleotide ribosomal RNA is filed under the name Streptococcus sp. oral taxon C65. Its description in RNAcentral is "bacterial SSU rRNA". It matches the Rfam family "Bacterial small subunit ribosomal RNA", at positions 28 to 479 of the family's 1533-position model. RNAcentral also lists the same sequence under 1 other name. The record is from RNAcentral. Lineage: Bacteria; Bacillati; Bacillota; Bacilli; Lactobacillales; Streptococcaceae.
GACGAACGCUGGCGGCGUGCCUAAUACAUGCAAGUAGAACGCUGAAGAGAGGAGCUUGCUCUUCUUGGAUGAGUUGCGAACGGGUGAGUAACGCGUAGGUAACCUGCCUUGUAGCGGGGGAUAACUAUUGGAAACGAUAGCUAAUACCGCAUAACAAUGGAUGACACAUGUCAUUUAUUUGAAAGGGGCAAUUGCUCCACUACAAGAUGGACCUGCGUUGUAUUAGCUAGUAGGUGAGGUAACGGCUCACCUAGGCGACGAUACAUAGCCGACCUGAGAGGGUGAUCGGCCACACUGGGACUGAGACACGGCCCAGACUCCUACGGGAGGCAGCAGUAGGGAAUCUUCGGCAAUGGGGGCAACCCUGACCGAGCAACGCCGCGUGAGUGAAGAAGGUUUUCGGAUCGUAAAGCUCUGUUGUAAGUCAAGAACGAGUGUGAGAGUGGAAAGUUCACACUGUGACGGUAGC